RNAcentral lists this small RNA (36 nucleotides) under Plasmodium falciparum 3D7. RNAcentral's name for it is "Pfa-npcR6601a". Lineage: Eukaryota; Apicomplexa; Aconoidasida; Haemosporida; Plasmodiidae. The record is from RNAcentral.
AAUUUUAAUUAAAUAUAUAUAAUUACAUACAUCUAA